CCUACUGGGGGCAGCAGUGAGGAAUAUUGGUCAAUGGGCGCGAGCCUGAACCAGCCAAGUAGCGUGAAGGAUGACUGCCCUACGGGUUGUAAACUUCUUUAGGCGGGGAGCAAUGCCGGGCACGCGUGCCCGGAGGGAGAGUACCCGCAGAAUAAGCAUCGGCUAACUCCGUGCCAGCAGCCGCGGUAAUACGGAGGAUGCGAGCGUUAGCCGGAUUUAUUGGGUUUAAAGGGUGCGUAGGCGGAUUUUUAAGUCAGCGGUAAAAUGUCCGGGCUCAACCCGGGCCGGCCGUUGAAACUGGGGAUCUUGAGUGGGCGAGAAGUAGGCGGAAUGCGUGGUGUAGCGGUGAAAUGCAUAGAUAUCACGCAGAACUCCGAUUGCGAAGGCAGCAUACCGGCGCCCGACUGACGCUGAGGCACGAAAGCGUGGGGAUCGAACAGGAUUAGAUACCCGAGUAGUC
This 460-nucleotide ribosomal RNA is filed under the name uncultured bacterium. RNAcentral describes it as "partial 16S ribosomal RNA". It matches the Rfam family "Bacterial small subunit ribosomal RNA", at positions 338 to 795 of the family's 1533-position model. The record is from RNAcentral.